This 7783-nucleotide long non-coding RNA is filed under the name Marmota monax (woodchuck). The record is from RNAcentral. Lineage: Eukaryota; Metazoa; Chordata; Mammalia; Rodentia; Sciuridae.
GGUUAAUGGGUCAUCUCUUUGUUCAUCCAGGUCCCAGGUGUGUGAUGGCGGCUGCAAUCUGUCUUGUGGGUAUUAAUGCGAUCUUCACUGAUGGCGACUGUACUCCAGCUGUUGUGCAAAACUGGAGCUUGCUGGUGAGUUCCAAAGGCCAGUGUCAACCAGUAUGGUCAGGACAGGCCCCAGCAUUGCCUGAGAACCCCAGACUCUGGGGUAGGGCCUCCAGUCUGGGUGCUCAUCUCUCCUGGUGGUUCAGUGCUCUGCACUGUUUUGUCCAGCCCCAGCCUGCUUAGGAAAAGUUAUCCAGGAUAGUCACCAGCCAUUUUCAUAGUGCAUCAUGGCCUUCUUAGGUAAGGCUGAUACUGUUAACAUGUGGUUAUCCAGUAGCAACCUAGACUGAAGUGUUCCACCAGCAUCUAAGCCUUUUUCUGAAAUUCAGCAUGUUGUUGGAAAUCUAUUUUAGAUGUAGUAUGUAUGCUCCCCUACUUUAUCAGUCCAAUUACAUUAAGUAUAAUUCAGCAUUUUCUUGACUCAGGGACAUUUUUAUGAGCCUCUUCUGAAAGGGAUAAUCACUUGACUGGUAUGACUGAAUUAAGUCUGCAAGAUUCUCCAGGAAUCCCUCUAUACCACUUAGUUUUUCUAGUUAGUGAUGAUUUUGGUCAUUCGUCUUCUUGCCAGUGUCAGCUGUCACUUCUCAGUCAGUAGUCUUAAAAAAUAAUAAUAAUGUACAUUCUCAGAAGUAUCCUACCUGCCAGGUACCACAUAUUGAGACUUCUGGUGUCUUUGGAAAGCUUGGCUUAGAACAACAGGAAUGUCAGGGGCUGGGAGACAGCAAUUUAUGUCUCAGCCGAAAUAAGGUGGCAGAUUUCAUUCCUAUGAUGGAUCAGAAAGGAGGCAAGAUUCCUGUUAAGGACAGAGGACCAGGUAGUGCUGCCCACAGAGGUCAUUACCACAUUUUGAGGACCUAAAAUGUGACUUCACACUCAGAGAACAGCCCCUCUUAGUGCUUGACCAGAAGUGCAGACUUCUGGUGUGCACAGCCCACCUUCCACCUGCCUGCACUUGGGCAGCUUUCUGGACAGGAAGUGAGCUACCUGCACUUCAAGUAUCUUUCCUACUGAAGUGUAUCUUCACUGACUUCAACUUACCAACAGGCAACAUUUUUCCACAACUCAUUGGGCAGCUGGUAUUUGUCCUGCUAAUCUGUGGUCUUCUGCUUUGUUAGAUUUUCCUUUUGUUGUGGUUCUUAGUAGUAAUGCCCACGUAAUUCUUGUUGGUAUUAUCACUCAAACUUUUUUAAAAGCCUUAGUUUUGUUUUAUUUCCCCUCCCCCUUCUCUAGAUAAAUUUAAAGACCAAUUAAAAGCCACCCAUGUAAUUUUUUGGAAGCAAGUUACAUGUGAUUUUUUUUUUAAGGCAGUAAAGCAACUAAAACAUCAGUCAUUAAAAGGCAUAUACCCAUGAGCCCAGGCAAGGCAGCAGCAGCAUUUGAUGAAUUCACGGCAAUGCAAGGAUCUAGUAAUGCAAGCUGAGAGGUGGGGUGGGCGACGCAGAAAAAUUUGGAAACGGGGACUAUGACUUGGUGGGAAGAUGCCCCAGAAGUGCUGGCAAAGAUGAGGAGCUGCCAGCUGUUGUGGAAGCAGGUGGGGAGGAGGGGGUGUUCAGCACUGAUGGUGUUAGCUCAGCGUGUGGUUCACCAGUUUCUGGAGCCAUCCUCAGGUUACAGAAGGGAAUUUGGAAGAAGCUAUUUCUCUUUCCAAAUUUGAAGUCAGACUACAUUGCUUAUGUGAUCGACCUUUGUAGGGUAGAAAGGACCUGGCUGAGAAGUUAGGAUCUCCAUCUGGAGCUGGGCUUUCUCCAGCCAAUGGAGUUGGAACCAUGCACAGAUGUAGCGAGCCAGCCUGCACAUACUUGUUAUUGUGGGCUGAGAAGUGUGAUAUGAGACUGGUGGAACAGUUUCUAAUUACAGAAGACUGUUCCUCUAGAGAUUCCAUAGAUCAUGAACUUUGCAUUUAAAUUUUUUAAAUGCUAAUUUGUUUUAUAUUGUGAAUUAGUAUCAGUGCUUGAUUUUAAGAAGUCAAGCUGACAGACACAAAAAACAUUCUUAGGACUGGGGUUGUGGCUCAGUGGCAGAGCGCUUGCCUCACACAUGUGAAGCACUGGAUUUGAUCCUCAGCACCACAUAAAAAAUAAACAAACAAAAUAAAGAUAUUGUGCCCAGGUAUAACUAAAAAAAAAAUUUAAAAAACAUUCUUAUUAUUAACAUUUGUAUAUGAUGUCCCAUGUUUAUUUGGAGUUGGGUGGAGGGAAAUAUUCCUUAUCUGACUUUUGGUAAAAAUGAUUAUUAGAGGGUUAAACUCUUGGGAAAGAAAUCACAAGUGGUUAGGUCAAACAGUACAUGUACAAGGGAGGCAUGGAAGGAGAGUUAAAUCUUAGCACUGGAAGAAAAAGCUCACAGUACACCUGGACAAACAGGUUUUGACUUAGUUACAGUAAGUGUCCCCUGCUCUGUCAGUCAGCAAGCAUCCUGACCCCACACCCAUAUCUUUUAAGGCACCAUUCUCCAUUGUCUUCAAAUUCUGUGUACCUCAGACAAGAUUUUAUACACAUCUCUAGGUCCUAUGCUUGCAUGUCACAGUUAAUCUCUUCCCAGGAAAGGUGCUGUGAAAAGACACCCCCCUCAGCCUGACCCUCUCCCUGGCUCACAGUCCCUUUGUGGUGCUUCAUGUUCCCGGAUGUCUUUAGAUUCUGUUUAAAAUGUCCUUGUUAAUACAUUCCAAGGUCUGAACUCCGUUCCUAGCUAAACCUCUUCCUUGUUUACAGGGACUGAAAUAGCCACACUUUGACCUUCUGUUCAGUCUGGGAACAUUGAUGGCAAUGUGGAUACAUUCUUUUCCCAUGUGAGAAUUAUAUCUGUAUGGCACAGUUCUGGAAGGCUCAGAAAAUUUUAGUUUUGUUCCUUUCUUCUCUCCUUCCUUCCAUGGUCUCCCUCCCCCCACUUCAGAAGAUCAGCUUCUGUAAUCAGCCUGUAUUAACCAGAACUUUACCUAUCUUCCUGUUCAGGCAGAUGUAUACAGAAUUGUAGUCAGGACCGGUUGCUUUAUUGCCCAAAAAAAUUGGAAAUGCCUUCUCCUCCCUGCAGCAGUAUCAGCUUUCUAUAGAAGGCACUGUUCAUUGAGGUGCUCAGGGUGCCACAGGGGUGGUGUGCACAACUGAGAUGGGCCCCCUGGGUACAAUCUCCUGGCGUUGUCAAGACUCUGACCCAAGUCUAGUGCCAUAUCCCAUCGUGGCCUAUCGCUCCUAUUUCAUCUGCUCUGGAUUCCCAGUGUUCAAAUUACAGGGUUGUGUUUUUGGUAUAUGUAAAUGACUAUAUGUGGAGUUGAGGAAGGAGUAGAUAAUUUUUGGAAGGAUUAUCCAAGAUAAUCCCCGUGAAAGCCACAUGGCCUGGACAGCGAGAAUUCCUGAAGGAGGAAGCCCUGGAGGCUGAAGGGAUCAGGAAAGGUGAGUUGUAAAAGAUAGGAGAGUGUAUAACAUGGGCGGACAGGGAGCAGGACAGAAAAGAGAAAGUACAUAGCCUGGGACAGAGCUUUUGAGGGCCUUGAAGGAUGUAUUAGGGAUAUGAGACUUGGGGAGUCACUGAGGACACUUGAGCAGGGCUUGGAAAAGGGGGGUUAAGGAAUCAUCAUUACUUUGCUGCCUACCCAUUGCAAAGCGGUUGGAGAUGCACAGUAACAGUCCAUAUACUAAGAGGUACACCCAAAGUAGUGAUGGCGAUAUUGGAAAGGAGCAGAUGAUCAUGUAGACUUAGUGUGAGAGACUGCACAGGGCCCAGGGAUGGAUGCAGGGACAGAAACUGUCAGGGCAGAAGAUGGUCUUGGCUGAAAUACCUGGGAAAAGCUGACAAGAAUAGGGAAGGAAUUGCCUACGAACCACAAGCUCGCCAGCAGCAAAAGUAGACAGCAAGGCACUGAAAGAGACACCAGAGACUCCACCCAUCCUAAAUCAACAGGCCAACUUGGGAAAGGAAACUCAUAUGGUCCACUUCCUUUGCCUGCCCAUUCCAUUUCUUCCUUUUGUAGUCCCUGAAAGCAACAUGACAGCUUUGGUUACAGGCCAUGUCACCACAGCUAGGCCAGCUGCUUUUCCACUCCAAGCCCAGAGAGGCAGCAGUAGCCCCUUCCUUCUCAGAGCACAGGGGCUGCUAGAUAAUUGUCUCAUGUGAAUUAUCCCAAAGUAAGAACCACUGUAGAGUGUUCUUCAGAAAAGGUUUCUAGGAAUCCACACAUAAACCUUCCUUUGGCUGCUUGCAUGUAUGUGGUCAAGUUUAGAAUGAGAUGGAACUUGCAGAAGAAGAAAAUUGCCCUUGUCUAUUUCUUUAGUAAGCUAGUUUCACUCCACUAUGACAUACACUCCUUGGGAGUAGAAUGAGAGGAGUUGGUACCACGUCACACUGUAAUCAGUGCACUUGAGGGGAGUUCAAGGGCAGCAAACCAGGCUUAGUAAGUGUGGAUUCACAAGGGAACUUUAGUUGCUAUAGCCCCCUAAACAAUGGCCCCACCAUAAGCCCCCUGCAACUCCAAGUCCCAACCCUGGGCUGCUUCAUACAACAUAUUCUCAGAUUGUGGGGUUUUGUGCCCCCAUCUGCUUCCAGGUAGAAAUCAGGGUGUAGCAGACAAAAGACACAGUUACCAGGAGGGGUCCUAUUAUUGGCCCUGCUGAGUGUCACAGGUGUAUGGCAUGCACCAAAGACAGGAUGUACACACCCUGCCCGGGGUAAUUUCUUCAUUAUAGAGCAUAUGAUAAGUGGUAGUUGACUCCUCAUUUCUGUGCUGGGUACCAUGGGGAGGCAAAGGAAUCAGAAAGUGAGAUUUUCCUGAAGCAGUUUACUUCCUUGUUCACUCCUAGUAGAACCUUUUUGUGGCUCAGAGAAAUCUGAGGCUGUAAAGGUGGAAAUGGGCCAGGAUCACUUGAGCACAUUACAGCUCUCUAGUUUUGGCCUGCUAGGAUUAAUUCACUUUUUACAACAACCUGAAUAGGUAGAUAGGUAGUAAGUAGCAUAGUAACGCAGUCAAGGUUCAGGAUAUUCAGAUUCCCAUUCUAGAAAACCUUGUCCUGCUUUCUCCCUAGGGAUUUCCCAUGAUCCAUGGAUGCAUGGUAUUAUAUUGGGCCUUAAGACUUGCAAGCCAUUAUUUCUACCCAUUUGUAUGUCAUCUAAAAACUAGGAUAUGGAAAGGUAUUUUGUGUGUCAAAGUUCAGGUCCAGAUGCAGCACUAUACAGUGGUGGUUUAUGGAGAAGUGUUAAAAAAUUAUUCAGUUCUCCAUGUUUGAGUGUUCACCUAAAUAUUCUGAGUUCAGGAUUUACUAAGUAAUUUCUACCUUGGAACAAUUAAGUGGUUGUUAUCAAUAAUGAUGUUUUCUUCAUAGCCUUUUCUCUCACAUAAGCAUUUCCCUGUACAAACGUCUAGUAUAUACUUAUUUGCUUUUGCGAAUACCUUUUCUACAAAUAUAAGUGAGUAUGACAUGUUGGCAAGAAACAAAGGCAUUAGGAGUUGGAGAAGGAAAGGAAAAAUAGAGGGUUUGGAGUUUGGGGGUUUUUUUGGUUGGCAGGGGGCGGGUAUUGAGAGGGUAUUGAGGAUCACCCAUAGGGCCUCAUAACUAAUGCUAGGCAAGCACUCUACCUCCCAUCUACAACCCUAGCCCUUUUUAUUUUGAGAUAGGGUCUCAUUAAGUUGCCCAGGCUGACCUCAAACUUGUGAGCUUCCUGCCUUAGCCUUCCAAGUAGUUCAGACUGUAAGUGUGACAUCACACCUUAGCAAUUGUACAAGCAAAUUGGGUAAACCAAAACAUAAUAGAUCGGAGAUGCAUAUAUGACCAGAGUGCUUAUCUGGCACACACAAGGCCCUGGAAUCAAUCCUCACAACACAAAGAGAAAACGUCCAGGACCAGCCCCAGAUAGGUAGGAGUCAAGGACUUCAAUGAUUAUUUGAAGGCCCUUGUUUUUGCCACAAGGCAAAGAGAAAGGUAGUUCUUUGCAACUUUAGGAAAGGGGACCUUUAAAAGUUUUUAUUAUGUAAGUAACGAUAAGUGGAAAUUAAAUGUUAGCCCUAUAUCUCACUGUGCUGUGACCAUUGAUCCUCUUGUGUAUGGUCUUUAUUGGGAGAGAUUGUUUACCUACAUACACACACACUCAUAAGGAAUCACUCUUGAAUUUCUCCAUGGGUUUCUCAGUCAUGGCAUUAGGAAAAAAGUACUGUACAUGGUUUUGAGGUCUACUCUGCCAACAUGUUUUCUUUCUGUUUCAGGCUUGAAAAAAACCUUGCCCAGUUUUGAUCCCUUCAAGACUUUGCCACAGCCUCUAUCACACAUCUGUUUUACUCGAAGAAAAAAAAUAUAUAAUAAAAAAUGUUUUACUCUUUUACACUGUAUAAUUCUAAGAAAUAGUGUUAUUUGUGAAUGCAUGGUGUGACAUAAUUUCUGUACAGUUUGGAGAUAUUUUCAAAUGAAACAUAAAAGAAGUCAACAAUAAAACCAAGAAAGUGAGUAUUUUUAUACCAAACAUUUUAAUUCUGACAGGAUGGAUUCUUACACUGGGUUGGAUCACAAAUUUUAUGCUAGACUUAUCGAAUGCUUGUAAUUAAAAAUAUCUAUUUUUUUCUUUAAAAUAAGCUGCAUGUUUGAGGCAUGUUUCGAAAUAGUUACCAACAUUUCCAGAAUUGUAUUGUUAAAUGUAUAGACACUGUCUGCCUGGCUGAAGUCCAGGGUUCAUUAGUAAUGUAGUGUUAGAACUGUUCUCUUCAGCCCUGGUCUGUGAUCCCAGUUCCCAUAUGAUAUCCCUACAAGACAAUCAAAGCUUCCAGGAGCUACUUUAAUGGCAUAUUCACAACUGGGCAAAGAAAACUUGGGGAGAAAUUCUUUAGACUAGAGUGUGCCCUUUGAAAGAUCUGGCAGCUCCAUCUGUGACUGUAUGAACUGUGUGUUUCAAGUUUCAUGUUUAUCUUUUAUGAGAGCUUGCUCCCCUGUGUGACUAACUUGCUGUAUUACUCACCUUCCAUAGCUAUGCCACUGCUCCUGUGGGACUGUAGUAGCCCUCACUGUGAAGGAGCACCUUGGCUUCGGGGCUGGCUUUGCCCAACUACAAUGGGCAAGCCCACAUCUGCCAAGUGAUUUUACCCAACUUUGGCUGAACUAAGCUAGUGUUCAAACAGACCGCCUGUCACAUGUUCUGGAAUCCCAGGUUGCUUGUCGUGAGGUUCCCAACUACUCUGGCACAGGGGGAACCACGGUAACCAAUGGCCAAGAGGAGGACGGUUGGGCUUCUUUCAAAAUGGUCAAAGCUAAACAGUCUUUGUGUUUUAAGGUGACACAUUCCAGAAUCUGUGACAGCUCAGCCUCUCCCCCUUCCCCUUGUAUAAAAGCCAUGUGUAAAACUAUAUUGACCUAAGAGUUUCUAACUGCUAAUAUAGCUAGAAAUGAUCACAAUCUUUCCUACUGAUCUGCUCACUCACUGUGUUGAAAAAUUCAAUAUUUUAAUGAUUAUAUGCUUGAUUUGGGGGUUUUGUUUGUUGUAUCAUUUUUCAUUAGAAAUAAAAAUAACAUUUUUAAUGGUUAUCACAACAAAGCAAAGCUAGGAGUGAGGGGCUCUUUCUUACCAACAAGAAGAAGAAAGAGGGCAGGCAGUAGCCUAGAGGCUCCUGAUAGAUCUGCUUGGGUGUUUAGGGAGGGUCUAUGCCCUCAGCACCACUUAACUCUUGGUGAGACUCCUGUAUUUGAUUUUAAGGAAAACAAAGC